Molecule: ribosomal RNA, 102 nt
Filed under: Hespellia stercorisuis DSM 15480
Lineage: Bacteria; Bacillati; Bacillota; Clostridia; Lachnospirales; Lachnospiraceae
Description: 16S rRNA. Bacterial SSU
Source: RNAcentral
CUGGCUCAGGAUGAACGCUGGCGGCGUGCUUAACACAUGCAAGUCGAGCGAAACACUUAGAUCUGAUUUCUUCGGAAUGAAGAACUUUGUGAUUGAGCGGCG